RNAcentral lists this non-coding RNA (195 nucleotides) under Terriglobia bacterium. Its description in RNAcentral is "6S RNA". It matches the Rfam family "6S / SsrS RNA". From Rfam's summary of the family: E. coli 6S RNA was the first non coding RNA to be sequenced, but its function was unknown until recently. Lineage: Bacteria; Pseudomonadati; Acidobacteriota; Terriglobia. The record is from RNAcentral.
GUUGGCCUGCAACGCAGGUGUUGGCGCGACGAUCUUUUGAACCAUACUGGAUCUCCGGGAGCCUAUGUCAGACGGCCGGUGUGCAUGUCCCGCAGCGGAUUUCGGUCCGCCGUGGGAAAGCCUAAAGGACGGCGCAGGGCACCCACUUUACACAGAGGUUCAGGAUCUAGCUCCACACGGCGAAGUGGACCGCUC